CGCCACCCCUCUCCCUUCGCCCAACGCCCUCCCCGCGCCGCCUCGCUUCUUUUGCGAUCUAGAGAUGUCCGUGGCGGCGGAGAUCCCUCCCAGGCUCCCAGCCCUCUCGCGCCACCACUCCGUCCGGUAGAAAAGGAGGAAUACUUGGCGAGCAUGAUGAUCCUUAGCGGGUACAUCCGCUCUUGUCCCGCUUGUCCAUCAAUUUGGAAGCGACGAGGCGGAUGUAGCAGCCAAGAAGCAUCGCCUUCGCCUGACCUCAACGCGCCACCUGCAAGGUCUCCCUCCUUCCCACCUCCUCCUGACCCAACCCGUUGUCUCGCUCGUCCUCCGGCCCUGACCCGGUUGUUGCCAAUUUGAUUAGCGAUUGUGCGGAUGCCCCGUGUUCCAGUCUGUAGUCAGAAGUAUUCCACCCCAGCUUCCCCGCGCCUCCUUUCCCUCAUGCUUUCAUUGGAUAAUUUGAAAUUGGGAUCUGGUUAAUCUGUUUGUGCGAGGGAAUUUGUGAGUAGUUGAUUUGAUGGUCUGGUUACACAGUAGCCCUAAAAUAAUCAGAUUAAAACGACGGGGGAGACUCAUGCCCUCUGUAUCUCCACUCCUCCACUAUGUAUGUUCUUAUUGCUGAUUCAACACGGGAUCGGUGUGGAAAAGCACUAGCAAUUUUGGCAGUUGGAUUGGCUGUUUUAGGCGUUCCUUGCCAUUAGAUGCGUUGGUCAAUGCACGCAUGGGCCGCGGAUCAUCUUCCGCUCCAGAAUGGGAGACGGACUGGGCUGACGCCGUUAGUGCCGCUAUUCCCGCUGCUUGCCUUCCAUCUGCUCAGCCACCGCCACCGCCCCCGCCCUGUCCUCCACCACGUACUGUAAAAAAGCCAAAAAGAAAAUCGCCAACCUUUUUAAUUUCUUCUCGUACUCCCAUGAUCAGCACGAAGAUGAGCGGGCGACGGAUCCACGUGGGCGAGGAGGUGUCGCUGAUAGUCAGGGCGUGCCGGCUGGGAUUCGGGAGCAGAUCCUCGAGGCGACCUAACCGCUGGCCGCUGCGGUGCCUCAUCGGCUAGGGCAUCUGGUGACCUCGGUUGCAACACGACAGCGAUGACCACGACAAUUGCCUUGCUCCUAUUUCCGGGCGAUGGAUAUGACCCCUAUGUGACUCUCAGCUUCACCAUCAGCCAAAAUCUGGAUGCAUCCCAUCUUUGAUCCUCCUGCACUCCUCGCCCCCUUGUAAGGUUUCAUUGCGAGGUCUGAUUUUUUUCAGAAUUUAAUUUGGUUCCUUCAUCUCCUUUCCUAAGUUUUGGAUUUGCCACAAUGAUUUCCUUCUCAUACAAUUUUAGUAAGACCAUCGCAUCGAUUGAUUGGUUAGGAGGAGGCCAGCAUCCAACAAGACAUGGUGCAGCAAAAUUAUCUAAUCAGUGUUGGAUGCAGCAGUCGAUUGUUAUUUCCAUUGAACCGCUGCCUGGAUUGUUACCGAGCUAACGAAGGAUGUCCAUGGAACUCACUGGUACCUGUGCCCAUAGGGUUGCCAUCCAUAUUGUGGAGUUGCAGAAGGUAGAGAAAAUAUCUACUUCAGACUUCAUUCCCUCUUGUGAUUAGGGUAGUGAGUUUUUUAUUCUUGCAAAAAUGACAUGAUCGAGAUAUCAAUAGUAAUGGAUUUUGUCUUGGUGUGUUUGUGCUAAAAACGUGCUCUUAUCAA
Molecule: long non-coding RNA, 1680 nt
Organism: Triticum aestivum (bread wheat)
Lineage: Eukaryota; Viridiplantae; Streptophyta; Magnoliopsida; Poales; Poaceae
Exons: 2
Source: RefSeq, a predicted model, not a curated record